Long non-coding RNA from Triticum aestivum (bread wheat), 3761 nucleotides. RefSeq lists it as uncharacterized. NCBI's taxonomy places the organism in Eukaryota, Viridiplantae, Streptophyta, Magnoliopsida, Poales, Poaceae. The transcript is spliced from 11 exons. The record is from RefSeq and is a predicted model, not a curated record.
ACGUGGGCAGAAGGGGUUGGCGAGUUUCGUCGAUGAAAAAAGAAACUAAGCGAGAGGCCACUUUCCUCGUUCCUUCGUGCCCCUCGAGCCCCACGCACCUUCUCUCUUGAGCACGCAACCUCUUCUUCCCUCUCCAAAGAUCUCUCUCCUUUGACUGGAUCGGCUCGCCCGCUCUACCGCGAGGACCAUGUCGCUGCCGACGCCGAUGCCCGCCAGCGACGACAGGUUGGAUCUGGACGGCGUGCUCGUAGCGCCUCUCACCAUCUGCAUGAGCGGGGCGGUGGAUUCAUCUGCUCCCACCUCUGCGAGCACCUCAUGGCCGAGACCCCGGACUCUGUCCUCGCCGUCCACGUCUACUGCUAGAAGAUCCGCCGCCUCGUCGACCUACCCCCGCCCCACCUCGCCCGCUGCAGCAACUUCCACCUCCUCAACGUCAAGAACAACUCCGGCCUGGAGGGCCUCAUCAAGAUGGUCGAUCUGGUGCGCCCCUCCCCACCUCCCCUCCUUCCCCGCUCGCUUUUGUCCUCUAAUGGCGGAUUGGUCUGCGAAAAAGGAAUGCUAGGGCCGAUUUUUCCGUCUUUGUUUCUGUAAAAAAGAGGAAGUGGGAUCGACGCUCUUAUCCUCUAAUGGUGGAUUGGUCUGCGAAAAAGGAAUGCUAGGCCCGAUUUUUCCGUCUUUUUUUCUGUAAAAGAGAGGAAGUGGGAUCAACCUGCAGAGGAUUUGGUCGCCGCGGCUGCGGCGGCGAGACUGCCCAUCUUUCAAUUCCGUGGCACUACUGCAUAUCCUGCCGCCACCGCUCGUUCCACCGGUGCUUCAGAGUGCUGCUGCUGCUGCUGCAAUUCAGAAACUAAGUCAGGCAAAACUAGUGGCUGAGCUUAUAGCACGAGAAAUUGUUAUAAAUGAUGCUGAUCAAUCUGUACGGCAUAAGCUCACGAAAAGGCAAACACAAAACGAGGUAAAUCAGUUGCAACCAAACAAUCGUGAUGUACUUGUUCUGUUGAAAGUCUGCUGGUACAUUGGUUAUAUUCACUUUCUGUAGCCAGCAUAUGAAAAAAUGUACUAAAAACAUUUGAGGCAGUCGAUCCCAACAGCGGAACAGCAACUAUGCUCGAGAUAGCAGGGAGGCUGUCCAAGCUAGAAAAUAAAGGAUGGAGGCCAAGGCGAACAAUCAUCGUCUGCAGUUGGGAUGCAGAAGAGUUUGCGCUGGAUCUACGGAAUGGACCGAGGAGGACAUGGAUAUGCUUGCUUCAAGAGGUGUUGCUUAUCUGAAUGUAGACAUGUUAAUGUUUGGGCCUGGAAGUCUUAUGCCCCGUGCAACAACACAACUCGAUGAAUUAAUCAAUGAAGCAAGCAGAAUGGUACCCGAUCCUGAUGAUUCGUCUCAUACCUUGUAUGACUACAUGGCACAAAUGAGCGAUCAUGAGAGCUUCAUUUGAUUGAAACAUACUGAAGUAUUAAGCUCCUAUUUUCAUACUGCAAGAGUGGCCGGUGCAGGAACAUAUUUUGCAGCUUUUGUCGAGCACAUUGGAGUCCCUUCACUUGACAUCUCUUAUGGAUUAUAAUACCCUGUCUACCACUCGCUGUACGAUGAUUUUGAUUGGAUGGAGCAGUUUGGAGACCCUUUGUUCCACAGACAUGUAGUAUGUACUGAGCGAGCUAUCUUUUCAAAUUCAGAAAGUUCACUAUAGCGCUGACUAACCCAUUUUACUGAGACUUGCAAAUGAUGAGAUCAUUCCCUUCAAUUAUGUCCCCUGCGUGUCUGAACUGGAGGUAUUUUCUCUUCUGGCAACUGAGAUAGACACACAGGGUAAUCCCCUAAUUCAGUUUCAUCAAGGAAACUGAAACAGAAUCAUAAAUUCAUGAUAGACUCGCUUCUUAUUGAUUGGUACACACAUUUUUUUUCAUGAAAUUAUCAUUAAGUGUGGCAUGUAGAAGUAGCUCCAACAAUUACUUGAAACAUGGACUAUCUGCCGUCCUCAUGACAACAGAUGUUGCAAGCACAAAAGAAGGGCCAUAACACGAGGGUACGCAUGCUGAAAGUCAAAGAGAUCAACGACCGAUGGACGAUGGUGGAGCGAGCCUUCACCAACCAAGAGUGGCUCGGAGGGAGACCGUGGUCCAAACAUAUGAUGAGCAUCAAAGCUGCAGGCUUGUUACAUAGUACUGUAGUUGUCUGAACUCCGAAGUUAGUCUGAAACUAACCACAAUAAUGUUUUUCUCCUUCGGCAGAUUUAUGCCUCGUCGGACCAGGACGACUGGUGGGGUACCAAAGCCUUCCCCGGCAUCGUCUCGGCCAUCGUGAACGCGCAGAAGCUCAACACGUCGGAAUCUUGGCGGCUGUUGCGGCAUGAGAUUUACAUGGGUGCAAGGACCUUAUUUGUUAUGAAAUGGCAUAUUGUUAUUCGUAUGUGUAUUAUUGACUUGCCAAAUUCUUGACCUCCUAUGGUAUGAUCAGAUCAAUAUAAAGAGUGUGGCUUCUAUUCUUUUAACAUACUCACAUGAAACUAUUGUCCAGUGUUUAUUUUGGUUAGUAUCUACCUGAUGGUUAGAUGUCUAUUUGAUUAAAGCAGGGACAAUGAAGUCAGUAGACAGCCUAUAAGCGCAGAGGAGCAUCUCAAGAGGCGCGCCACGGGCGCGCCCCUGCCCCUAGUGAAACACAAUAAGAGUCGCGGAAGGGGCGGCCGCUCACCUAUGCCACGUCAAAAAAAUUACUGUCACAGGAGUUUGGAUUAUUGUGAUAACAACCUUUUGGAGUUUGGUUUACCCUGAGUAAUUGUUGGAGGAGUUGGGAGUGCUCUACAUGCUCUACGACGACUGCUUGCAUUACAGGAGCCCCCAACGCAGGAAAAACGAGGUUGGUCAUCCAUGAUGCAUUUAUAGAUCCAUCUGAUGAUGAAUCUCAUUCCAUCUUGAAUACCCUUCUCUGCAUUUCAAAGGUCUUACAAAGAAGUUUUAAAAGUAGGCUUCAAUCCAUCGAGAUCUUGAUGGAGCUGGAACAUUGAUAUUGCCAGCCACGAACGCGAAGAAGGCGGUACAGAGCGGCAAUGCGUCGAUCAAGGGCUGGUGCCAGAAGCGGGGCACCAAGGGGGGGCAUGUGGUGUACACUGCCGAGUUCAUGGUGGAUGCCGGCUUCGGCGAGCCGGGCGCUGUCGUGGUGGCCAUCCAGAACCACCGUGAGUUCUUCCUCGUCGAUGGCAGUGGGCUGCCUUGCGGCAUCGUGCACUUCGCCUGCAAAUCCUGGGUCCUCUUAAGCAACAAGCACUAAAACAGAGUUUGGUCGACUUGGCAAUUUGGCAUGGGAAGAUGCUCGAAGGGGCGUGAUGUGUAACACAGGUUGUGCAAGACACCUGGACUUGGACGGUGGUCAGGUGACGGACUAUACUCAAUGGUAGUAAGUGUUUUCUUUCUAUAUUAGUUAUGUAUAUGAACAGAUAUAAAUGCAGUUGCCCCAUGUUUCACAUUAAUGUUUCUUGUAGCACUGGAUAACCUGGUUUGGCCAGCCAAUAAGAGUCAAUUGGACAUAGGCAAGUACCCAGAGAGAGGAUACAUCAGGUCUGGUACUGAGAUAUGGUCUAAAUGUUCCAUUAUAUAUGUGUUGGUACCUAGAGAGAAAAUAAUAGUCUCACAUGAAUGAAUAAUGUGUUGGUCUUUUGAUAAGAGGUAUAUGGAUGUGAUUUAAAAGAGACCAAAAAAUGUUUGAUUAGUGCUAUUGUUUGCAGCUAUCGGUAAGUUAAGAUAUAUUUUUAACCAUUGUCGGCUGU